UGGGGAAUAUUGCACAAUGGGGGGAACCCUGAUGCAGCGAUGCCGCGUGGAGGAAGAAGGUUUUCGGAUUGUAAACUCCUGUCGACAGGAAAGAAAAAGGACUGUACCUGUCAAGAAAGCUCCGGCUAACUACGUGCCAGCAGCCGCGGUAAUACGUAGGGAGCGAGCGUUGUCCGGAAUUACUGGGUGUAAAGGGAGCGUAGGCGGGAUUGCAAGUCAGAUGUGAAAUACGCAGGCUUAACCUGUGGGCUGCAUUUGAAACUGUAGUUCUUGAGUGAAGUAGAGGCAAGCGGAAUUCCUGGUGUAGCGGUGAAAUGCGUAGAUAUCAGGAGGAACACCGGUGGCGAAGGCGGCUUGCUGGGCUUUAACUGACGCUGAGGCUCGAAAGCGUGGGUAGCAAACAGG
Molecule: ribosomal RNA, 405 nt
Filed under: uncultured bacterium
Lineage: Bacteria
Description: bacterial SSU rRNA
Rfam family: Bacterial small subunit ribosomal RNA
Source: RNAcentral